Molecule: small nucleolar RNA, 137 nt
Filed under: Echinops telfairi (small Madagascar hedgehog)
Lineage: Eukaryota; Metazoa; Chordata; Mammalia; Afrosoricida; Tenrecidae
Description: Small nucleolar RNA SNORA47 (ENSETEG00000026298.1)
Rfam family: Small nucleolar RNA SNORA47
Source: RNAcentral
UGGAGGACUGAGAAGGUGAGGCAGCUCUGCACCAUGCUGCCGUCCACUGGUUAAGGCCUCUGAAAGCGAAGGUCGCCAGGGCAGAGGAUGCCCCUCUGCCACCUUCAGAGGGGCAAUGCCCUGCUAGCCAAAAGUGU